Molecule: ribosomal RNA, 439 nt
Filed under: uncultured bacterium
Lineage: Bacteria
Description: partial 16S ribosomal RNA
Rfam family: Bacterial small subunit ribosomal RNA
Source: RNAcentral
CUACGGGAUGCUCCAGUGGGGAAUAUUGCACAAUGGGCGCAAGCCUGAUGCAGCAACGCCGCGUGAACGAUGAAGGUCUUCGGAUCGUAAAGUUCUUUUCUUAGGGAAGAAAAAUGACGGUACCUAAGGAAUAAGCACCGGCUAAAUACGUGCCAGCAGCCGCGGUAAUACGUAUGGUGCAAGCGUUAUCCGGAAUCACUGGGCGUAAAGGGAGCGUAGGCGGUUUUGCAAGUCAGAAGUGAAAGGCUACGGCUCAACCGUGGUAAGCUUUUGAAACUGCAAGACUAGAGUGCAGGAGAGGCAAGUGGAAUUCCUAGUGUAGAGGUGAAAUUCGUAGAUAUUAGGAGGAACACCAGUGGCGAAGGCGACUUGCUGGACUGUAACUGACGCUGAGGCUCGAAAGCGUGGGGAGCGAACAGGAUUAGAUACCCGCGUAGUC